GUGGGGAAUCUUCCGCAAUGGACGAAAGUCUGACGGAGCAACGCCGCGUGAGUGAUGAAGGUCUUCGGAUUGUAAAGCUCUGUUAAUCGGGACGAAAGAGCCUAGUGUGAAUAAUGCUAGGAAGUGACGGUACCGGAAUAGAAAGCCACGGCUAACUACGUGCCAGCAGCCGCGGUAAUACGUAGGUGGCAAGCGUUGUCCGGAAUUAUUGGGCGUAAAGCGCGCGCAGGCGGAUCUGUAAGUCUGUCUUAAAAGUUCGGGGCUCAACCCCGUGAGGGGAUAGAAACUGCAGAUCUUGAGUAUCGGAGAGGAAAGUGGAAUUCCUAGUGUAGCGGUGAAAUGCGUAGAGAUUAGGAAGAACACCAGUGGCGAAGGCGACUUUCUGGACGAACACUGACGCUGAGGCGCGAAAGCCAGGGGAGCGAACGGGAUUAGAAACCCGGGUAGUCC
RNAcentral lists this ribosomal RNA (450 nucleotides) under uncultured bacterium. RNAcentral's name for it is "partial 16S ribosomal RNA". It matches the Rfam family "Bacterial small subunit ribosomal RNA", at positions 354 to 796 of the family's 1533-position model. The record is from RNAcentral.